Molecule: long non-coding RNA, 1910 nt
Filed under: Callithrix jacchus (white-tufted-ear marmoset)
Lineage: Eukaryota; Metazoa; Chordata; Mammalia; Primates; Cebidae
Description: lncRNA (ENSCJAG00000077147.1)
Source: RNAcentral
AGUUUGAAUAAUUUUAUUUAUUAUGUUUCUAGAGAUGAGGGUCUCAUUCACCCAGGCUGGCUGGAGUGAGGUGGCACAAUCAUAGCCCAUUGCAGCUUUGAACUCCUAAGCUCAAGUGACCAUCCUUUCUCAGCCUCUGUGAGUAGUUGGAACUAUAGGCAUAUGCCACCAUGCCCAGCUAAUAAUCAUUUUUAAACAAGAGGGUUCAUAUUUUUAUUUUGCACUGGGCUUUGCGCAUUAUAUAGUUAGUCCUGCCUAUAGUGUAUAAGCUGUUAGAUUAGAAUUUAAGGUCCUGAUUCCUUCAUCCUUUUAUUCAUCCCACCUAAGGAGCAAAUUCUUAGCAUGUGCGCUUCCAAAUAAUAGCACAUUAUAUUAAAUUCCAGAGACUCAUAAUUUCCCACUGUGAUUCAAAUCCUGUACAAAAUGUCUCAUCACAGACAGGUAAACCAGCCUAUCAUGAAUACUUUAAAUAUUUGCCUGCUCACUAAAAGUCCCUGGGAGACUUAAAACUACAAAUUCCUGAGCUACUCCUCAGACAGAAUCCAAAUCUUCUGAGCUGAAACAGAGAUCGGUAUUUGCAAAAAAUUUCUUUCCCAUUGUCUGUUUUUACAUGGUUGGGAGGAUGAAGCAAGAGGCUUCAUCAGAAUGUUGAAAUGUAUGGUGUGAGAGGCUUGUGCUGCCAAAUUUAGCUCCUGUUAGGUAUUAAUCUGAUGUAGUUUCUGCCAGUUUCCAAUCCACAAGCAGUGUACCUACCAAGAAGGUUAAUAGCUACUAUUCCCAUUUACUGUGGAUGUGAGACCUCUUGGCUCUUAUAAUCAUGCUUAGCUAACACUUCUGAGAAAAUAUUGGCAGAAUAAAUCAUUUCUAAUUUCUAAUUUUAUCACCCUUCCCAGUUGUUUCUCUAUGUCCUGUGGUUAUUAUGUGGGCUUAAUUCAUUAUAAUUUAUUCCCCUUUCUCUUUCCUGAAUCUGAUCUUAAUUACAGCUGUUACUUUCUUUUGUUCAGCCUUGUCAUUUUUGUGGGGGAAAAAGAAGACCCUAGCCAAGCAGAAGCAGAAGUAGCAUUUCAUAUGGACACCUGUGAAGUUCCUGGUUUUCGGCUGACAUUUGUUCUGCAUGCGUACCACGUAAGGGGUGGAUUAUUUUCUCCUGUGCACUUUCAUUUAGCUCCCUCUAUCAAAUGCGUUUGUUUGCCACCAAGAAAGACAAUCUGCAUUUGAAAAGGAUUAAACAGCCAGUUGUGGAAUUUGGACAUCUUUGACAACUUGGUAGAGAGUUAAUAAGGAAAGGGAGAAGGAAAGCGUUGGGAGCAGGGAAAAGGCUGUGUCUUUCCUGGUUAAAAUGUAUAGACUAUUAACUAUUUCACCAACGCAUUAGGCUGGGCCCAAUCCUUGCUAGAUUCGUUUGAGAAGGGAUUGAGGUUGUCAUUAUAAUACAAAUGUGGCUAGAACAGAUCAUUUAAAUAUUUAAUGUAAAAGCUCACCAUUAAAUGUAUAUAAUGUAAAAAAUAUUCUUGAAAAAAUUUGGCGAUAUCCUGAUUCGUUUCUUGUACAUUUACUUCACUUCUCAAAAUAAACUGAAACUCAGUAUUUUUCUCUUUACUACCUCCAUUGGAUUUCUCUCUCACCCACACUUACUCCAGAGUUCCAUUAGGAGGACACAGUGUCUUCUCCUAAUUGCCUAUUUUGAUCCGUAUCGCUUUUACUCGUAUUUUAAGUUCAUGCCAUCCACUAAGAAAAUCAAACAAACCUCUUUUGUACAAUGGGAGAAAAUAAGUCGAAUGGUUAAGAGCAUGAGUUUCGAAGUCAAACGGACCUGGAUUUAAGUGCCAGCCUGAUCUUUCUUACCUGUGUAAUUUGAGCCUAUCAUUUUACCUUGCCAAGCCUGUUUUCUCAUGUAUCUAAAACAGUGC